AGCGUCGUCUGUGAAUCAUCGAAUCUUUGAACGCAUCUUGCACUCGUCAGGUCUCCUGACGAGUAUACUUGUUUGAGUAUCAUAAACAUUACCUCCGAGCUUCGGCUUGGGACUUGAGGUUUCAGAAGGCGCAAGUCUUUUGUUCCUUUUAAUGUAUACGUUUGCGAUCUUCUUGACGCCAGUCGGGAAGAGCCUAUUAAAUCAAAUGUGAGAUACAUAUCGCACAAAGUAGUUUAGAAGGUUAAAGCGAGCCACGCCUAGUAGCGUCAUUAACGUGACAAUACACUUUGAACAUUGAUCUCAAAUCAAGUAAGACUACCCGCUGAACUUAAGCAUAUCAAUAAGCGGAGG
This 351-nucleotide ribosomal RNA is filed under the name uncultured Mortierellales. RNAcentral describes it as "eukaryotic LSU rRNA". The stretch from base 296 to 351 matches the Rfam family "Eukaryotic large subunit ribosomal RNA", at positions 1 to 56 of the family's 3401-position model. The record is from RNAcentral. Lineage: Eukaryota; Fungi; Mortierellomycota; Mortierellomycetes; Mortierellales.